UUUAAGCAUAUAAGUAAGCGGAGGAUAAGAAACUAAAUAGGAUUCCCUUAGUAAUGGCGAAUGAACAGGGAUCAGCUCAGCAUGGAAAUUGGGGCCCUCGGCCUUGAAUUGUAGUCUCGAGAUGUAUCGCCAACGGAGGCGCAGAUGUAAGCCUCUUGGAAAGGAGCAUCAACGAGGGUGAGAGUCCCGUUUGUCAUCUGCAGUCCCCCGUGCACGGCAUACCUUCUAAGAGUCGCGUUCCUCGGAAUUGGAGCGUAAAUUGGGUGGUAAAUUUCAUCUCAAGCUAAAUAUUGGUUCGAGACCGAUAGCAAACAAGUACCAUGAGGGAAAGAUGAAAAGGACUUUGAAAAGAGAGUUAAAAGUGCCUGAAAUUGCUGAAAGGGAAGCGAAUGGAACCAGUGUUGCUUGGCAGGAUUGUCGGGUGCAUGACGCUCCUGAUCGUCUCCUGCCUUGUGUGUCAACGCCAGUUCGCGAUCGAGGAAAACUCCAGGGUCAUGGUAGCUUGUCUUCGGGUGAGUGAAUAGCCUUGGCAGAACUCAUUUGCGGACUGUUUCUUUCGUGUCUGGUUGCAGUGUCUUUGGCACCUUGGAGAUCUCGGCUUGGCUUGCCACAGUCGGGUGACCCAGGUGACUUGGGCAUUUCCCUGACGCAAAGACGAUGACUAAUGGUUCUAUUCGACCGUCUUGAAACAC
RNAcentral lists this ribosomal RNA (692 nucleotides) under Prorocentrum dentatum. RNAcentral's name for it is "LSU rRNA". It matches the Rfam family "Eukaryotic large subunit ribosomal RNA", at positions 33 to 662 of the family's 3401-position model. The record is from RNAcentral. Lineage: Eukaryota; Dinophyceae; Prorocentrales; Prorocentraceae.